UCGGCUCAUCACAUCCUGGGGCUGUAGCAGGUCCCAAGGGUUCGGCUGUUCGCCGAUUAAAGUGGUACGUGAGCUGGGUUUAGAACGUCGUGAGACAGUUUGGUCCCUAUCUGCUGUAUAAAAUAAAAAAUUAACGAACUCUUACAUCAGUACGAGAGGACCAGAACGGGGCAAUCACUGAUAUAUAGGUUACUUAGUCAAGUAUUGCCGAAAAGUUACAUUGCAACAAGUUAA
RNAcentral lists this ribosomal RNA (234 nucleotides) under Tiarina fusus. Its description in RNAcentral is "Tiarina fusa partial Bacterial large subunit ribosomal RNA". It matches the Rfam family "Bacterial large subunit ribosomal RNA", at positions 2532 to 2767 of the family's 2925-position model. Lineage: Eukaryota; Ciliophora; Prostomatea; Prorodontida; Colepidae. The record is from RNAcentral.